Molecule: ribosomal RNA, 453 nt
Filed under: Bacillus cereus
Lineage: Bacteria; Bacillati; Bacillota; Bacilli; Caryophanales; Bacillaceae
Description: bacterial SSU rRNA
Rfam family: Bacterial small subunit ribosomal RNA
Source: RNAcentral
UGGGCGUAAGCGCGCGCAGGUGGUUUCUUAAGUCUGAUGUGAAAGCCCACGGCUCAACCGUGGAGGGUCAUUGGAAACUGGGAGACUUGAGUGCACAAGAGGAAAGUGGAAUUCCAUGUGUAGCGGUGAAAUGCGUAGAGAUAUGGAGGAACACCAGUGGCGAAGGCGACUUUCUGGUCUGUAACUGACACUGAGGCGCGAAAGCGUGGGGAGCAAACAGGAUUAGAUACCCUGGUAGUCCACGCCGUAAACGAUGAGUGCUAAGUGUUAGAGGGUUUCCGCCCUUUAGUGCUGAAGUUAACGCAUUAAGCACUCCGCCUGGGGAGUACGGCCGCAAGGCUGAAACUCAAAGGAAUUGACGGGGGCCCGCACAAGCGGUGGAGCAUGUGGUUUAAUUCAAAGCAACGCUUAGAACCUUACCAGGUCUUGACAUCCUCUGAAAACCCUAGAGAU